GCUAUUUUGGCAAAAAAAAUGUGAUGAUUUUAGAAGCCAUGAAUGUAUAAUUUAUUAUAUAGAUAGUA
Molecule: transfer RNA, 68 nt
Filed under: Samia cynthia cynthia
Lineage: Eukaryota; Metazoa; Arthropoda; Insecta; Lepidoptera; Saturniidae
Description: tRNA-Leu
Source: RNAcentral